RNAcentral lists this ribosomal RNA (406 nucleotides) under uncultured bacterium. RNAcentral describes it as "partial 16S ribosomal RNA". It matches the Rfam family "Bacterial small subunit ribosomal RNA", at positions 28 to 526 of the family's 1533-position model. The record is from RNAcentral.
GACGAACGCUGGCGGCGUGCCUAAUACAUGCAAGUCGAACGAGUGGCGGACGGGUGAGUAAUGUCUGGGAAACUGCCCGAUGGAGGGGGAUAACUACUGGAAACGGUAGCUAAUACCGCAUACCAUCGGAUGUGCCCAGAUGGGAUGAGCUUGUAGGUGAGGUAACGGCUCACCUAGGCGACGAUCGCUAGCUGGUCUGAGAGGAUGACCAGCCACACUGGAACGGAGACACGGUCCAGACUCCUAAGAGAGGCAGCAGUGGGGAAUAUUGCACAAUGGGCGCAAGCCUGAAACAGCCAUGCCGCGUGUAUGAAGAAGGCCUUCGGGUUGUAAAGGACGUUCAGCGGGGAGGCGUUACCCGCAGAAGAAGCACCGGCUAACUCCGUGCCAGCAGCCGCGGUAAUAC